AUUGAACGCUGGCGGCAGGCCUAACACAUGCAAGUCGAGCGUGCGGCGGACGGGUGAGUAAUGUAUGGGGACUGCCCGAUAGCGGGGGAUAACUACUGGAAACGGUGGCUAAUACCGCAUACUGUCGGAUAACACAUAUGGGAUUAGCUAGUAGGUAAGGUAAUGGCGUACCUAGGCGACGAUCCCUAGCUGGUCUGAGAGGAUGGUCAGCCAACCUGGGAUUGAGAAACGGCCCAGACUCCUACGGAGGCAGCAGUGGGGAGUAUUGCACAAGGGGCGCAAGCGUGAUGCAGCAAGGCCGCGUGUGUGAAGAAGGCCCUAGGGUUGUAAAGGACUUUCAGUCGGGAGGCGUUACCGACAGAGGAAGCACCGGCUAACUCCGUGCCAGCAGCCGCGGUAAUUC
Molecule: ribosomal RNA, 403 nt
Filed under: uncultured bacterium
Lineage: Bacteria
Description: partial 16S ribosomal RNA
Rfam family: Bacterial small subunit ribosomal RNA
Source: RNAcentral